GACGAACGCUGGCGGCGUGCUUAACACAUGCAAGUCGAACGCUGAAGCUUGGUGCUUGCACUGGGUGGAUGAGUGGCGAACGGGUGAGUAAUACGUGAGUAACCUGCCCUUGACUCUGGGAUAAGCCUGGGAAACUGGGUCUAAUACUGGAUAUGACAUGCCACUGCAUGGUGGUGUGUGGAAAGGGUUUUACUGGUUUUGGAUGGGCUCACGGCCUAUCAGCUUGUUGGUGGGGUAAUGGCCUACCAAGGCGACGACGGGUAGCCGGCCUGAGAGGGUGACCGGCCACACUGGGACUGAGACACGGCCCAGACUCCUACGGGAGGCAGCGGUGGGGAAUAUUGCACAAUGGGCGGAAGCCUGAUGCAGCGACGCCGCGUGAGGGAUGACGGCCUUCGGGUUGUAAACCUCUUUCAGCACGGAAGAAGCGAGAGUGACGGUACGUGCAGAAGAAGCGCCGGCUAACUACGUG
This 472-nucleotide ribosomal RNA is filed under the name uncultured bacterium. RNAcentral's name for it is "partial 16S ribosomal RNA". It matches the Rfam family "Bacterial small subunit ribosomal RNA", at positions 28 to 507 of the family's 1533-position model. The record is from RNAcentral.